Molecule: transfer RNA, 130 nt
Filed under: Aureobasidium namibiae CBS 147.97
Lineage: Eukaryota; Fungi; Ascomycota; Dothideomycetes; Dothideales; Saccotheciaceae
Rfam family: tRNA
About the family: Transfer RNA (tRNA) molecules are approximately 80 nucleotides in length. Their secondary structure includes four short double-helical elements and three loops (D, anti-codon, and T loops). Further hydrogen bonds mediate the characteristic L-shaped molecular structure. tRNAs have two regions of fundamental functional importance: the anti-codon, which is responsible for specific mRNA codon recognition, and the 3' end, to which the tRNAs corresponding amino acid is attached (by aminoacyl-tRNA synthetases). tRNAs cope with the degeneracy of the genetic code in two manners: having more than one tRNA (with a specific anti-codon) for a particular amino acid; and 'wobble' base-pairing, i.e. permitting non-standard base-pairing at the 3rd anti-codon position.
Source: Rfam by way of RNAcentral
GCCGUGGUGGUGCAGUGGUCAGCACACCCGACCUGGUAACCUACGUUCGCUCACCUACGCUCGCUUACCUAAAACCUAAGUCUCUCUCUCGAGGGUCGGGAGGUCGCUGGUUCGAAUCCAGCCCACGGUG